CCUACGGUGUGCAGCAGUGGGGGAUAUUGCACAAUGGGGGAAACCCUGAUGCAGCGACGCCGCGUGUGGGAAGACGGUCCUCUGGAUUGUAAACCACUGUCCCCAGGGACGAAGAUGACGGUACCUGGGGAGGACGCUCCGGCUAACUACGUGCCAGAAGCCGCGGUAAUACGUAGGGAGCGAGCGUUGUCCGGAAUUACUGGGUGAAAAGGGAGCGUAGGAGGGGAUGCAAGUUGGGUGUCAAAACUACCGGCUCAACUAGUUGUCGCACGCAAAACUGCAGAUCUGGAGUGAAGUAGAGGCAGGCGGAAUUCCUAGUGUAGCGGUGAAAUGCGUAGAUAUUAGGAGGAACACCAGUGGCGAAGGCGGCCUGCUGGGCUUUUACUGACGCUGAGGCUCGAAAGUGUGGGGAGCAAACAGGAUUAGAUACCCGGGUAGUC
RNAcentral lists this ribosomal RNA (440 nucleotides) under uncultured bacterium. RNAcentral's name for it is "partial 16S ribosomal RNA". It matches the Rfam family "Bacterial small subunit ribosomal RNA", at positions 338 to 795 of the family's 1533-position model. The record is from RNAcentral.